RNAcentral lists this ribosomal RNA (530 nucleotides) under uncultured bacterium. RNAcentral describes it as "bacterial SSU rRNA". It matches the Rfam family "Bacterial small subunit ribosomal RNA", at positions 355 to 896 of the family's 1533-position model. The record is from RNAcentral.
UGGGGAAUAUUGCACAAUGGGCGAAAGCCUGAUGCAGCGACGCCGCGUGGGGGAUGACGGUCUUCGGAUUGUAAACCCCUUUCAGUAGGGACGAAGCGCAAGUGACGGUACCUGCAGAAGAAGCACCGGCUAACUACGUGCCAGCAGCCGCGGUAAUACGUAGGGUGCGAGCGUUGUCCGGAAUUACUGGGCGUAAAGAGCUCGUAGGCGGUUUGUCACGUCGUCUGUGAAAUCCCUCGGCUUAACCGGGGGCGUGCAGGCGAUACGGGCAGACUUGAGUACUACAGGGGAGACUGGAAUUCCUGGUGUAGCAGUGAAAUGCGCAGAUAUCAGGAGGAACACCGGUGGCGAAGGCGGGUCUCUGGGUAGUAACUGACGCUGAGGAGCGAAAGCAUGGGUAGCGAACAGGAUUAGAUACCCUGGUAGUCCAUGCCGUAAACGGUGGGCGCUAGGUGUGGGGUCCUUCCACGGACUCCGUGCCGUAGCUAACGCAUUAAGCGCCCCGCCUGGGGAGUACGGCCGCAAGGCUA